Molecule: long non-coding RNA, 14099 nt
Filed under: Marmota monax (woodchuck)
Lineage: Eukaryota; Metazoa; Chordata; Mammalia; Rodentia; Sciuridae
Source: RNAcentral
GUAAAGACAAUCUAUUUCUGACCAAAAGUUAAUUUUACUUUUUUUCCUUAACUGCUUUCCACCUUUGAAAUUUUCAGACUUUCCCAGAAGAUCACUAAUAAUAUUGUUUAUUUUCUUCCAAGAAAUGCUGACAUUGACCAGGUAAGCCAUUACUAAAGAAUUUCUGUGAGCCUCUUGUUGAAUUUUUACAAAGAAGGGCAGAAAAAGAUGUAGAAUGUUUCCUUAUCAGAGAACCCAUUUAUGAGAAAUUCUUUGCUUGCUGACUGUUAGUAACAAAUGGAAGUGUAUAACCGUUGAGUCUAUGUCCAUUUGAUCUUCAUCUCUCUGACUUCUGAUGUCAAACACAAAUAAAGCACACCAGUCUUUUCAUAAAGCUGUGUUGAAAGAAAGGUGGAAUGUCUUGAGUUUCAUAUGCUGCUCGGCUAAAGUAGCCAAGGUCUACCUUUACUGAAACCUGCCUUGAAAAUACAGGUUUUAAAUAUUUCUACAAAUAAUAACAUAACCAAAGUUAUAGAUAGACAGAAACUUUAAUUUGGUCAGGAAAAACUAUUUCCAUUAUUUCUUCAAUAGUGUUUCUACCACUCUUUCCUUUUUCUGGGCCAUCCAUUUUUCUUCUUUAUAUUUUUCUGGCAUUUUGUUAUAUGUCCUGUUUAUUUUAUAUGUAUGUGUUAUCUAUGCUUUCAGUGUCAUGUCUUAGAGUUUUAUAGUUUCAGCUAAGUAGCUCUUCAAAGCCAAUGAUACUCUGAUCCACUGGGAAAAAUUCUUUUUUAUUUAUUUUCUAGGAUGAAGACUAAGUAUAAAUCUUUUAAAGCCCCCCCCCCACCAAGUGAUUAUAAUGCAAUCAACAGUUUAGAUUCCCUGGGUUAAAAGAAGAAAAAAAUGAAAUUAACAGUCUGAGCUCUUGCUCUGAGUUAGAAGGAUGCAAAAUUUGAUCUUGCUCUCAUUUAUUUAUGACACAUUUUGCCUAAACAUUAAGCCUUCCAAAAUAGUAUGUUAUACCAAUGAUAAGAAAAAAACCGCACAUCCCUUGGGAUCAUGAGAUUUUUUUAAUAUCACUUGAUAUUACAUCUGUUAUCUGCCACUCAGAAGGCUCAGCUGCUUCCUAGACUUCCAGAUAAGGCUAAGCUUACUGAUUCCAAUUUAUUUUUCUCACAUGUAAGCAUUAUGUUUAAUAACUGUCUCAUAAAAGACCAUAUGGUCUUUGCUGGGCUUUACUGUGAUUUUUAUAUUACAUAAAAAUAGGCUUAUUUGAGUAUGUGAAUAAAUACUAGUAAACUUACUGUUUAGCACAAAAAUCUCAGUGAUUAAAUUUUGUUCUAGUUGAAUGAACAUUUCCAUAAAGAUAAAGUUAACUUUUUUCUUAAUUCUGUUUUUGGCUUUCUUUGAAAACCUGCCAGAAUUAGGGUUUGUGGCACAUUCAUGCUUUCUACCUCUAGAGGGAGUAAUGACACCAGAAAAUAAUAAAAGAAACUGAUUAUGAGUACACUAUUUUGUUUGGUAUUGAAUUUAGAUCAAAUUACAGUAGGAAAUGAACUUUUUCUUAAAACAGAAAAUUCACCACGUGAGACACUUUAAGUGAGAGAGAGAGCACUACAAGAUCGAAAGAAAUCAGAGUUACAAAGAAGUUAACGUUUUUGUUAGAGGGACAUUUAAAACGUCAAAACAACGUGAAUUUACAAAUGAACUGUGUUCCCAAAGUUUAUGAAUCUGCAGCAUUUUUCCCAUAGAAAUGUCUAUAAAGAAAUUGGGAGAUUAUACUUUGCAUACCAUUAUAUUAUCCUAAACUGGAUACGAACUGAACUGAAUAUAUUGCAGCUUGUCUUGAAACCUUUCCAUGUAGAUGAUGGUGAUUUUUCUCUGAAUCCAGUGAAAUAUUUUUCUAGGUCCCCUAUUACAGGUCACACAGCCCUUGUUAGCCAAACUCACACUAUUAAACCUAAGACUGGAUAAUUUAGAUAAUAUUUUUGUGAGAGGCACUUUGGAUAUAAGGUAUAUCUCACUCUCUGCAAUUGCUGUUAAAACCUGGAAGCUCAUCUUAGAUUGCAUUCAAGGAACUUAUGUUUGUAUCUUGUUUUGUUUUCUUUUAUUUCAUUCCUUUGACAGCUGUAGAAUUCCAGCCAUUUUCCAAUUUUGGAUCUACUAUGCUUUGCAAAUACGUAAAGAUUCUUUUUUAAAUAGUAAAUCUAUUCAGAGAAAGACCUUUGAGAGCAGACUAGAUUGGUUAUGCUUCAGUGGAAGCAAACACCACCUUCCUGUGAAAUCCCUGUGGGUGGAAUCUCUAACAUAAAUUAUAGUCUUGUCUUUUAGCUAGGCAUUGGGGUAAUUAGAGGAGGGCCCCUGGUCCAUUGGAUGUGGUCGCUUCUUAUCCUUUUUUGAUUUUAUAACAAAAAUACAUAAGUUUAUAAAAGUGAUGUCAUCUGUACUUUUCAGUAGAAAUUAAGUCACUUGGAUUUUUCUGUUCAUACCAAUAUAGAGAACAGGGUAACAUUGAGCAGCAUCCGUAAGAAUUGUGUUAAAAAAUAACUGAAGCCCCUCCAUCAAAUGAUUCUUGUUCCUUAUCUAACACACCCCACCUUCCUUGGCUUCUUUUUAUUUAUAUACAUAUAUAUAUUUUUGUAGUUAUAGGUAGACACAAUAUUUUAUUAUUUAUGUGGUGCUAAGGAUCGAACCCAAUGCUUCACGCAUGCUAGGCGAGCGCUCUACCUCUGAGCCACAACUCUAGCCCCCUUUCUUGGCUUCUUUAAACAUUCAUUCUAUUAACACUUGAGCCAAGACCCCAUUUAUUUCAUUUACUCAUAAAGUGGGGAAACAAUUGCAAAUUAACAUGUUUAGGUAGAACAUUAUACAGUUGUUUGAGUUGUAGCUUUAAGUAUAGAAAUUGAUGUUAGAUUUAGUCAGGAUAUCUAUCUCAUCUUUCUAGUUGGCAGAAUUCACUAGACUUUUUUUUAGAUUUUAUUUCAGAGAGGGCUGACUGGUAGAUCACAUGCUUAGCAUGUACAAGGCCCUGGGUUCAGUUGCCAACAUCAGAAAAAUUAAAUAAAUUUUAUUUCAUAAUGUCUGCAAGAGGGAAAAAUUCUUAAUUGUAGCAUUGAUCACACUUCUAGUUUGUUUGUUUUGAGGUGGUACAUAGACCCAGGGACAUUCUACUACUGAGCUAAAACUCUAGCCUCUAUUCGUUUAUUUUCAGUCAUUGGUUGGCUGAUUUGUAGAUAGAUAGGUAGAUAGAUAGAUAGGAAUGAGGUACUCAUUUAUGGGUAAUAUAUCUAAAAUAUGGAAGAAUAGAGUUGUAUGCAUUUGAAUAACAAACUAUUUAUAAAUAAGAGAAUUUAUUAGAUAACAUUGUUAUUUAGGAAAUAUUUUAAAUAUAACUAAAUUUAGCUCAUUAGCAUUUUCUAAUAGUUUUGACUAAAUAUGGUAAAUAUUUACCACUGUUUUAUUUACAAAUAUUAUUUUAGUUUUAAGUUACUAUAGUAUCCACUUAUUUCAUAAAUGGAAAAUUAAGGCCUUAAUGGUAUUUUAUUUAGAGGUAGAAUUAAUAAAAAAUUAAUUAAUAUCAAAAUGUUCUGAAUUAAAUUAAUACUGUGGAAAUCUGAUCUAAUGGUAACAUUCUUGUGUAGCUAAAGCUGUAUCCAUAAGGUAAGUACUAUAAAGUCAUUCCAACAGAUGAAGGACCCUUAGUCCAGGUUUAGGAACCAGAAGCAUGACAGAAUAGGAAGAGGCCUAAAGACUGGAUUGAGUUUGUACUUAUAGGAAUUGUAGUCUCUAAAACAGGUGAACCUCAAAAUAGCUUGCUUUUACAACUCAAGAGCACACAGAGAUGUGUUCAUGCUACUAAACUUGUUAGUUUACACUGCAUUGUAUACAUUGUAUACAUUGUAUACAUAUUGUGUUAGUCAGCUUUGUGUUGCUGUGACCAAAAUACCUGAUGAUAACAACUUAGAGGAGGGGAAAGUUAUUUUGCUCAUGGAUGCAGAGAAUCAGUCCAUGGCCAGCCCCGCUAUAGUCAAUUGCUCUGGGCUCUAGGUAAGGCAGAACCUCAUGGCAUAGAGUAGCUGCUCCGUUCAUGGCAGCCAGAAAGCAGAGAGAUGGGAGAAGGAACAAGGACUCUGAACCAUUUCAGAGCACUCCCCCAGUGCACCUCCUCCAGCCAUGCCCCCACCUGCUUACAGUUACCACUCAGUCCAUUCAGACUAGGAUGGACUGGUUAGGUUACAGCUCUCCAGUUUCAUAGUGUGGCCUCUGAAUGUUCCUGUAUUAAUACAGAAGCUUUGCAGGAACUCCUCAUAUUCGAACCAUGAUACAUUUACAGCAUAGAAGUUUAAUGAAUGCUUCUUGGGUAAGUGGAUACUUAAGAUCCAUAGAGUUCUCCUGAACAUGUCAUUGACUUAUUAUAACACUUUGGAGUAUUUAUGUCAAGUUAUCAACCUGAUUUUAUUGGUGAAUAAACUAGGAAAGUUUGCCUAGCUAUCCUGCCACAUAAUGGCAUAGUCAGCACCUUAAUACCUUGCUGUCUCCCACAGACACAGUAUUCAUUGCUAAAAAGAAACAGGUUCAUCUCUUGUCACAAGAGUAGCUCACCAAGAGAUUGGGACAGUCAUUAGAAUUUGAGGUGACAAGAGAAGCAAGGGGAAUUAUAAAAGAAUUUCUGCAGAAUCAGCUCUGGUCCAUUCCUUCUUAAAGGUGAGAAAGACAACAGAGAAUUAAAAAUUUAUGACAAAGGGAAAUGCCAUGACCUGCACCAGCUGUUAAUUCAGAAACCAGCAAGGGGCAAUGGGGGAAUAGAGAAAAGACAGACACACAAAGAAAGAAAAAGCUGGGGACUGGUGGCUCUUCAUCCCCUGAUGAGGGAUGAAGAACUACCCAGAACCAACUCAGCACAUUUAUUAUCUAGAUUUUAACAUCAAAAGGGUUUUUUUGGGGGGGGGGGGCAUGUAGCAGGGAUUUAACUCAGGGGCACUCAAUCACUGAGCUACAUCUACAACCCUAUUUUGUAUUUUAUUUAGAGUUAGGGUCUCACUGAGUUGCUUAGUACCUCGCUUUUGCUGAGGCUGGCUAUGAACUCAGGAUCCUUCUUCCUCAUCUUCCUGAGCUGCUGGGAUUACAGGGGUGCACCACUGCCCCCAAAUCAAAAGGGUUUUCUAUGAGAAAGUUUCUUCAAAGUAGGGCUGGGGAUGUGGCUCAAGCGGUAGCGUGCUCGCCUGGCAUGCGUGCGGCCCGGGUUUGAUCCUCAGCACCACAUACAAACAGAGAUGUUCUGUCUGCCGAAAACUAAAAAAUAAAUAAAUAUUAAAAAAUUCUCUCUCUCUCUCUCUCUCAAAGCAAGCAAGCUGAAGGACGAAGUCCAAUUUCAACUUUGUGCUCAUAAUUCUUUACCCCCAGGAACAGGCACCUGAACUCAGGGUCAAGACUGAUAGGCCUGUGGUAAGCCAGGAACCUCCUUUGAACAGGGCAUCACCAUAGUAAUUGGGCAGUCUCAACUGUGCCUUUGCACUAGGAGUUCACAGCUCAGGUGCACUCCUGUCACAGGAUAGUUCAAAGACUCAUUCAAAUCACCGCUCCCAACAGGGGAAGGCAUUUAUUGCAAAACUUGACCUGCCACAUGUGUUCUCUUAUUUAGUUAGUGGUAUGUUCUCUUAUUUAGUUAGUUGAUCAAGUCUGUUCCGUUCUUAAUAAAAUCACUGUAUAAUCACACAUUGCAAUUUGGAUAAAUUUGAUAGUUCCUAAUGUUUACUAGCAAGCUUUUCCUUUGGAGAGCUUGCUGCUAGAUGAUUAAAAUAGUAUUAUCCUGUGUUAUGCUACAUACAUGAUCAUUCUCUGAAGAGGCAAUGAAACUGUCAGGCCUUAUGAGCUGGGUUACAAAGACACAAGUUCACUUUUAGUCAAAUGAUUCUGAACAUAUCUUUUAUUUCUUUACUACCUUGAGUAAAUUUUCUUAGUAAAUGAUGUUAAUAGAAAAUAAAGGAAUGCCCAGCUUUUCUGUGCCACACAUGGUGCUACCUGUAAAUCCUUUACUAUUGGGGGUACUCUGGUCUGUUGUGCUUUAUGUAACUUAGGUUGUAAAGAACAGCCUUAUGUUUCCAGGAUCUGUUUCUGAGAAUAGGUAAGGGGAAAAUCUUAGUGAUCUGAUUUCCUGAAAUCAAUGUAGGUGAGCUUUUGAUACCUGGGAGGAAUUUUCUGACCUGGUCAGAUGCUCCUGUUGAUGAUUGGGGGCUUUUUAAAAUCACAUUUGUUUUAAUCAAGUAAAUAUUUGAAUGAAGAAAAAAACAGGAAAUAUCUGUGAGAGCCUGAAAUAGCAUUUAAAGAUUACCUGAAAUACUGUUAGCAAACAAAUUUAAGAAAUUUAAUUUUUCUUUACUGCAUACAGGGAAAUAGACGAAAGUUUGAAUGUUGCCUGUUUGUCCAUUGGUAGUGUAUUUUCAAACCCCCCUCGCCCCUGAACUGUCCAUCAUAAAUGUUUUUACUUAUUUUUAUUUUUGUGUAGUUUCUUGGUUGUUGGUUGGGUUUUCAUUUGUUGCUUUUUAUUUGAUUUUUUCAUAUUUUUAUUCAUGUAUUACUAUUACACACAAUAUUGUGAUUUUUUUUUACAUAUUCAUACAUGCACAUGAUAUAUAACAAUAUAAUUUGGUAGUUAUCAUUCCCCAGGAUUUCUUUUUUUUUUUUUUUUUUUUAUGCCUUUAUUUUUAUCUGGUGCUGAGGAUCGAACCCAGGGCCCUGCAUGUGCUAGGUGAGCGCUCUACCACUGAGCCACAACCCCAGCCCUCCCCAGGAUUUCUUCCUCCUUCCCUUUCCUCUACUCCACUGGUUUCUCUUUGCUCUCCUUGAGAUUCUCCACGCCUUUUUUUUUUCCUUCCUUUCUAGCUUCAUAUAAAACAAAACAUACAGCACUUGAUUUUCUGAAUGUGGCUUAUUUUGCUUAAUAUAAGAUUCUUGAGUUCCACCCAUUUUCCUAUAGAUGGCAUAAUUUCAUUCUUUAUGGCUGAAUGAAACUUCAUGGUGUAUAUAUACCACAUUUUCUUUAUCCAUUCAUCCAUUGAUGGACAAGUAGGCAGGUUUCAUAAUUUGGCUAUUAUGCAUUAUACUGUAAACAUGGGUAUACAUGUAUCUAUAGUAAGAUGACUUUAAUUCUUUAAGAUAAAUACCAAGGAGUGUUUUAGCUAAGUCAUCUGGUGGUUUCAUUUCUAGUCUUUUGAGGAGCCUCCAUACUAACUUCCAUAGUAGUUGUACUAAUUUACAAUCCUACCAACAGUACAAAAGUGUUCCUUCUACCCCCCCACAUCAUCUUCAGCAUUUAUUAUUAUUUGUAUUUUUGAUGGCUGCCAUUCUGACUGGAAUGAGAUGAAAUUUCAAUGUAGUUUUGAUUUACAUUCCCCUCAUUGAUAAAGAUGUAGAACAUUUUUUCAUAUAUUUGUUGGUCAUUUGUUUCUUUUGAGAAGUGUAUACUUAGUUUAUUUGCCCAUUUUUUAUAGGGUUAUUUGAUUGGGGUGGUGUUUUGAGAUUUUUAUAUAUUCUGGAUAUUAAUCUUCUGCAGAAAAAUAGCUAGCAAAGGUUUUUUGCUAUUCUGUAGGAUCUCUCUUUACAUUCUUGAUUACUUCCUUUGCUCUGUAGAGCUUUUUAAUUUGAUGUUAUCCCAUUUAUUUAUUCUUGAUAUUAUUUCCUGAGCUUUAGGGGUCCUAUUGAGGGAAGUCGUUGCCUGCACCUGUAUGUUGGAAUGUUGGCCAUACUUUUUUUCCUAGAAGUUACUAGGAACAGUUCUAUUCUAAUUCCUAAGUCUUUGAUUCAUUUUGAGUUGACUUUUGUGCAGGAUGAGAGAUUAAGGUCUAGUCUCAUUCUUCUACAUAUGGAUAACCUGUCUUCCAGCACCAUUUGUUUAAAUGGCUAUCUUCUAGCCAGCAUACUUUUGGUACCUUUGUCCUGGAUCAGAUUACUGUAUCUCUGUGAGCUUAUUUUUGUGUCUUCUGUUCUGUUCCAUUGGUUGAUGUCUGUUUUUAUGCCAGUACUAUGCAGUUUUUGUUAGUAUCACUCUGUGGUAUAAUUUGAAAGCAAGGAUUGUGAUGCCUCCAGAAAUGCUUUCCUUUUUUUUUUUUUUUUGGCUUAGAAUUGCUUUUGAUUACUUGGGUCUUUGAUUCUUCCAAAUGAAUUUUAAGACUAUUUUUUCUAGUUCAGUGAAGAAUGUCAUCUGUUUGGUUUUGAUUGUUUUGUUAUGUUUUGUUUUUGUGGUUUUGGGGGGGUGGGUACUGGGGAUUGAACCCAGGGACUCUUAAUCCCUGAGCCACAUCCCCAGCCAUUAUUAUUAUUAUUUUGAGACAAGAUCAUGCUAAGUUGCUUAGGGCCUUGCUAAAUUGUUGAGGUUAGCUUUGGCUUUGAACUGGUGAUCCUCCUGCCUCAGCCUCCCAAGUUACUGGGAUUAUAGGCUUGCGCCACUAUGCCCAGGCAUGUUGUUGAUAUUUUAAUAGUGAUUAUAUUGAAUCUGCAUAUUACUUUGGGUAAUAUGAUCAUUUUACAAUAUUAAUUCUAUGUAGCCACAAACAUGAGAAAUCUUUCCAUCUUCUAGUGUCUUCAGUUUCUUUCUUUAGUGUCCUAUAGUUUUCAUUAUCAAGGUCUUUCACCUUCUUGGUUAGAUUUAUUCCUUUUUGUUGUUGUCAUUUGCUUUUUAGUUAAUUUUUGUUUUUGUUUCAGGCUCUUGUGAAUGGGAAUCUUAGUAGAUUCAUUAUUACUAUAUAGGAAAGGUAUUGAUUUUGUAUGUUAAUUUUAUAUCCUACUACUUUGCUGAAUUUGUUAUUAACUAGCAAUCUUCUGAUGGAGUUCUUUGGCUCUUCUAACUAUAGGAUCAUAUCAUCUGCAAAUGGUGAUAAUUUGACUUUUUCUUUUCCUAUUUCUAUUCCUUUUGUUUCCUUCUCUUGCCUGGCUGCUCUGGCUAGACCUUCUAGUGCUAUAUUAACAGGAGUGGUGAGACUGGACAUCCUUGCUUGUUCCAGAAUUUUUCCCUAUUUACUAUGAUGUGGGCUUUGGGUUUGUUGUAUAUAGCUCAUAUGAUAUUGGGUUAAGUUCCUUCUGUCCCUUGUUUCUUUGAGGUUUUUAUCAUGAAUGGAUGCUGAAUUUUGUUAAAGGCUUUUUUCUGCAUCUAUUAAGGUGACUGAUUUUUGUCCUUAAUUCUGCCUAUUUGGUGAAUUACAUUUAUUGAUGGGUAUAUGUUAAAAUAUUUUUGUAUAGUUUUUAUUAGGGUAUAACAAAGGAAAAUGAGGGCAAAAAGUACCACAAGCCUUUACUUGGCCUGUUUGUCUUGAGGUUUCUCACAACCAUUAUUUCAGGUGCUUGCUGCUUUUGACAGAGGUCUGCAGGUUCUAUAAAAUACUCUUCAUUUUCAUCUGUUUUGUUUUGCAGUGUUAAGAAUCAAACCCAGGGCCUGGCACGUAAUAUACAUGCACUCUUAAUACUGAGCUAUACCCCCAGCUCACCUGGCUUAAUUGGUUUCUAACCAAGUUUUUGCAUAUUGCAAAUAAAGUGUUUCUGUCAUUAAUAUGUAUUGUGUAUUCUCCAAAUAGGAUCCAGUUGGGAGUGUAUUUGCUCUCAUUUGAUUAUGAAACUCUUAACUUUAUAUUCAUUUUCCUCUGGAGGGAAAAUGCAGUUUUGAAAGUUUGACUCUUAAAUCUUUGUUCCUUAAUUUUUACCACUUGUCAUCUUUGUUGUGACCUUUUUCUGUAUCUCCUUUCCAAGUCCCCAAAUUACAUGUUUAUUGCCUCACAUAGUAUCUAGUUGAUGAGCCAGGCAUGGUGACACACACCUGUUAUCCCAGAAAUUCUGUAGGCUGAGGCAGGUGGGUUGAAAAUUCAGAGCCAAGCCUCAGCAACUUAGCAAGGCCCUAAACAACAUAGAGAGACCCUGUCUCAAAAUAAAAAAGCUGGGGAUGUGGCACAGUGGUUAGGCACCCUGGAUUCAACCCCCCAUACCUAAACAAAUAAAUAAAUAAAUACCCAGUGAUGAAAGUGCAAUCUUAAGUUUUAAUUCCAGUAGUUGUCAUUUCUUUUAAUAAAUCUAACAUUUUUGGAUAGAUGUAACCCAGAGCUGCUAAUCUUUAUAUACCUAGCUAUUCUUCUCCUUCCCAUCUUCCCUCUAUCAUUUUCUCUCUUCUCCUGCCCUCAAUUUAUUAAAUUUUAAGAAAAGAGUAAAGAACCAAAUAACAUUUUGACCAGUAAACCUGCUGGUGAAAGUUGAAAAUAAUAAGGUUAAGUAUGCUUGAAUUGAAGCACAGUAUUAUUUACUUGAACAUAAGUCUUUGCAACUCCAAAUUUCUAAUCUUUAAAAUAAAUGAUUUGAAAGUACAGAAAGGCUAGAAAUUAUUUUUCACCAGAACACUUGAAAGUAACUUUCUUUCCCAAAUUUAUUUCUAAAUAGUAAAAAGGUAUGAGUUUUGUCAUCAUAUUUUGAUAAGUAGAUUCAGUAUUAAGAGAAACACUUGUUUUGUUUAUCAUCUAAUUCUCCCAACUUGACCAACCCUAGUAGAUUUUUCUGCUGUUGUUUCAUCUCUGCUUGGAUUUUCUCAACCCAGCCUGAUCUUUCCUCCUUCCCUUUCUCUUUGCCUCUUACCACAGUCUUACUCCCACCUUCCCUCAGAAAUUUCGGCUUACCAAUUUUACAUUCUUUAAAUAAAUUACCUGUUACAAGGAACAGGAAAAAUACUGCUCUUAAGUUUAUUUUAGAUGUACUGGUCAAAAUCAUUUUGCCCUUAUAAAAAAUUAGACAUAAAGAUAUUGAAAUAGGAUAUAAAACACUUAUUCCUAAUAAUUGCCUCUGUGCUGUAUUCACCUUAUCCUUGAUGUUUCUUACAGUUGUCCUGAUAAACUGAUUUCUGGUGAUCUGACCACCAGAUCUAGUUAAUAGAUCUCUGAGAGGUCAAAUGGAAAAAUAUACUGGGCCAAACCAAAACCUUAUCUAUAUAAGAACUUGGGGUAAAAUAUUGCUAGUGUGAAGUGAAAGAGGCCAGUGCAAGCAUUUUGUAAGAAAACUAAGUAUUCCUAAUACGUGGCUGUUUUUAAAUUUCUAGUUUCACGUAUGAACAAUGGGGUGUGAUUGUUUAUUUUUAAUCACUAUUAGACCUUCUGUGUUUGGCUUUUAUUUUCAUCUAUUUCUAUUGAUAAAAACACAACCAGUCUCUUUUUAUGCCCUGCUGGUAGUAGGGUUGGGGGGCUGAGGGUGACAUCAUUAACAUCUUGGUGGAGCAACUCUUUUUUAUUUUUCUUUUUUAAGAAGUUACCAUAGAAUGACCUGUUGGUUCUUCCCUAUUUCUGUAUCUGACUUUUUCUAACAGGAAGUUAAAAUAAUUCUAAAUUUAUACUCAUUGGUAAUGCAUAGUAAAUCUUACCUUCUACCAGUUGCUGGUUUAGUAGGUAAAAUACUAGUAAGAUCAGAUUCUUUCAGCCCUCAACCAAACUAGACUAAAUAAACAUCUCUUUUUACAAAAUAUAUAGUUAUAGUUUUGCCGAUUAUUGUAACAGAAAAUGCAUGUCUCCUGUGUUUAUAACUCAUCCUUAGAAUCAGUGUAUCUCUUUACCACUCAGUUAUUUCUGGUUUUUUUGUUUCAUUUUUUUUUUUAAUUGCCUAGGCUCUCCAUCGUAUUCCCCUUAUCCUUAAUCUUUCUUAUUGUUGUCCUGUUAAACUGAUUACUAGUGAUCUGAUCACCAGAUCUAGUUCAUAGAUCUCAGAGAGAUCAAAUAGAAAACUAUGCUGUGCCAAAAAAUAACACAAAAAGAAUAACAGGUGGAGGAGGUGGUCCAAAUUGGGAGAACAAUAAAAGGGAUCAAUUAGAGAAAGACAGACUUGUUGAUAAAGACUCCUCAUUUUAGUAGGGGUCAUAGUCUGGAUUAUAGCCAUCUUGCUAUCUGUUCUUAGUAUCAUGUAGCAGGCACUCAGAAAAUAUUGUUAAACAAUUAAGAGAGGAAGAUGAAAAUGAUAAGGUAAACAAGGCAGAGGUUUUCAGGAAAGGACUUAUUCUUUGAACACCUUUGUAAAUAAACAAACCUGUGAUUUAGGAAGAUUUUCUGUUCCUGAGUUCUUUAGCUUAUAGUAUCGCCGAGGUCAAGUCCUUUACAGUAGCAUAAAGAUAUGAUCUUACCCAUAAGAUUAGAAGGGUCUGAAACAAUAAGCAUUUCUACCAUGGAAUAUUGCAUUAGUACCUACCUGGGAAGUAACGGUGAACAUUUGAGAUCUCUCAUUAUUUGAAAGAUUUAAAUAAAAAGCCAGGGUCUUCCUUUUAUUUGAUAAAGAAUUGUAAAUGAAAGAAUUUAUUUGAAAUCAUAUUAUAUACAUGUGACCUUCUUUUGUUUGUCUUUUUAGGUGGCAUCCUUAGCUGGGCCUGGAGGACAAGUGGAAAUAGAACAGAACUUUCUUAAUAAUAAACUAAAGACAAUCACUGCUUAUUUUGGUGACUUAAUCAGAAGACCAGAGUCUAAAACCUAAACUGUGAAGCAGGACAAGGAUAAAGAUCAUGUAAUAAUAAGAACAUUUUUCAUAUGAAACACACAAAAUGUCUUCCUGUAUUCGCUGAUAUUUUAUACCCACAGUCUUAAAUCACCAUGUGAUAUGGAAACUUUCUGAGUUUAACAAAUAUUAAUGAAGUUUUGAGACAUUUGGAUGAUAUUAACUAUGGACUGUCUAUUGUACAGAAAGUUAGUAACCAUCUGAUAUGAAAAGAGUAUAGACUUGCCCCUGUGCUGAAUUUCAUUGUGUGUCUGUGUAAAUAUGGGGUUUUUUUUUAAUAUAUUGGUUUAAUAUCUUUGUGUGUGUGUAUGUAUGUAUAUACAUGUGUAUAAAAAAUAAUUGCUGUAUUUUUUUAACAGAAAUGCAAAGAAAACAAUGAACAAGUUAUAUUCUAUAUCCUGUUUAGCUGCUACUGAAAUAAUGUUAUACAUUUAAAGUCUCCCACCCUCUUCUCGGUCCUUUAUUAUCUCUCUAAAGAUAAUCACAGCAAACAGUGUAUAUAGUUUCUUUGGGAGAAUAGAAAGGAAUUAGAGUGUACCCUAAUGUGCUCUUGUCUCCAUUGAUACACUGUUCAGUAACCUUCCUUGUUUUUACUUAAUGUACCUUUUUUAAAAAAGCAGAAACCUUAUCAGUUUAUCUUGAAAACCUUUCCUUGUCAGUACAUAAAGAUAGAUCUACCUUAUUCUUUUUUAAUGACUAUUUUGUAUUCCAUCUUACGAAUAUGCCAUAAUUAAUUAAACCAGUUCCCUAUUGAUGGACACUUGGACUCUUCAGGUUUUUGCACUUACCAACUGUUUUGCACUGUCCUUAAGUAAAUUGGUUAACUUCUAGAAGUUAGGUAUCCAGGGGUUUGUGCAUUUUAAUUUUGAUAGAUACAAAUUGUCUUGAUAAAAUUGAACCAACUUUCAGACUUUAGACUUUCUUCUAGAAUUUUUUUCUUUUCUUCAUCUUGAAUUUGCUUUUUUAACAUCAUUUUAGCUUAUAAAGUUAGUAUUUUUAAGAUUUCCAUUGCAAAAUCAAUGUGAAAUAUAUUUUGUAAUACAGAAAUAUAUGUUCUUUUUCUAUUAAAAUGGCAGUGAAAGGAGAAAGAAUGUAUUGCUUAAUUAUUCAUUUAGCAGGGUGUUCAGUCAUUUUUAUAAGUAGGUAAGAAAUGAUGUACAGCUUCUAACCAUUGAGGGUUAGAGCUGGGAUAAUGUCAGCAUGUGAAGCAUCAAGCAAAACAUGAUUUUGAAUAAGAUAGGGUUAGAUAAAAUGAAAUAACUUGGAGGAAUUUUCAAUAAGCACUGAAAAACUAGACAAAAAAACUUGCUGAGGGUAUAGCUUAGCGAUAGAGCUAAGUGUUUUUUAAUUAUGCCAACAUUAGUCAUCAACAGUUCUGUAUAUGACCCCUAGACCUGGAAGAGUGACAAGAUGGGUAAAAGUAGAUUUUCAAAAUUACCAGUUUUUUUGUCACAAUAUUUCAUUCAUACACUUCUUUCUGUUGUGCAUAGUCUUACUUGUAUUUAAUAUUAAUAUUAAAACUAAUUUGCAUUCCUGAAUACAUAUGACCAUGUAUGAGUAGAAAAAGAAGCCUAACCAAGACCUAAAGUAUUCUUGUCCCCUCAGUGAUAUAGCUAAUUUACACA